AUAGGAGGGAACGUGCACCCCAUUGUCUGUAAGCAAGAGCCCAAGUCCAGGAAGGCUUGGAUGGGGAUGGUGGCACCUGGGUCCCCCCAAGGCUACAGAGAGGCCUCAGCCUCAGGCUCCUUUUACCAGCGGAUGGAGAUCCUAGGCUCUUAGACUGCUGGGUCCCUGAAAGAAAAGCAAAAAUCAAAACACACCUGGAAUUCGUUGACAAGCUUGCGUUUAUUUUUGCCUUGAAGAAGAACCCAGAUGUCACGCGGCAGUGGCUGUGCCUUUUCAUCUGCAUGGUGAUAGGAAAUAAGAAGUUCCUCCCUGGUCACCCUUCCCCAGAGCCGUGCUGUGGUUCUGGGUUCUCCCCCGGUGCCAGGGUGUGAGGCAUCAGGCCAGCGCCAGUUGCUGCUCCACCAACCUUUGUCCCAGCCCUCAGAGGCAUUGGGUUCGGCCUGUCUCGGCAGCUUCCGUGCUGAGCUGGGGGUCUGGAAAGCCCUGAGGCUGCAUACUCAUAGGUGCCCCUUGCUGUGCUGCUAGCAGGUGGCUGUAGGCCCCUCUCUGGCCUUGCUGGGCUCCCUCUCUCUUCUUUCUCCAGUCACACAGGGUGGAGGGAAGGGAAAACCUCUUUGUAGACUCGGGAGGAGUCCUCCUCUCUUUACAUCUGGUCCCCUGGGUUCUCAACACCCCCUUCCCUACUCCCCAUCCUCCACCUGGGGCAAGUCUUGUUGGAAACCAAGUCAUGGAGCCUGUUUGGUUAUUUCUUCUUUCUGCUCUGCCUCUUUCUCUAGGCCAAGAGAACAGAGCCUCUGAUACCUGGCAGGGCCACCAGCAGGAGGGGACAUGUGGGCAGAAACCUCGAGACUAUUUCAGCCACUUCAGAUCAUGAGGAACAACAUCAAGGAGGGAGCAGAGACCCUGAGAGAGGCCUGAAUUGUUCCCUGAUGGAUUCUAAC
RNAcentral lists this long non-coding RNA (941 nucleotides) under Marmota monax (woodchuck). Lineage: Eukaryota; Metazoa; Chordata; Mammalia; Rodentia; Sciuridae. The record is from RNAcentral.